This is a long non-coding RNA of Cyprinus carpio carpio, 2291 nucleotides long. Lineage: Eukaryota; Metazoa; Chordata; Actinopteri; Cypriniformes; Cyprinidae. The record is from Ensembl.
GACAGGAUGUGACAGUUCUGCAGUGGAAAAUGUGCUCUGUGGGUUCACUGGUCACUGCAGACAAAAGCACAAAACUGUAUUUGAAUACGUGACAUGACCUUCCUUUACGUGUUGAAUUUAGAUGACCUGUGCUGGCAUUCACACUUUGAAUAGUUGAUCUUCAUAUUCCUUUUUUAUUUUUUAUUUUUUUAUUUUUUUUUAGGCAGCAUUACUAAAAAAUGUAAAUAUGUGGACAUGAUCAAUGCAAACUGUAUUCUGUGUAAAUGACAAUGUGAUUUUUACGUCCAAUACUCUUCUAUUGUAUAAAAGUGUAUUCUCAUCUGCUGUCUUAGGCAUUGCCCUCUGUCUUCAUCUCUUCCUUUACUAGUUCAGUCUCUACAGCACGUCUGCAAGCCUUCGAGAUCCUGAGCGGAGAGUAAAACAGUUUACACUCCUUCACAGCCCUUAAACUGAGUGUCCUGUUAUGGCCAGUUUUCAGACCAGGAUUCUUCGUCUGCAUCUCUGUGUUGUUAUUAUUCUCCUGACUCAUGCAGAUUAUUCCAAAUCUAAUCAAGAGCAAAGGAUUCGGCAGCACAUCAACAAAACAGUGUUUGUGGGGGAAACAGUUACACUUCACUGCAACAAAACCCAACUUGAUGAUGAUUUCACAUGGAAAAUGAACAACUCGGUUAUUUUUAGGCAUGUCUCUGAUAUUAACAUAACUAAGACAAACUUCAUCUCCAACAGGAUUCACAUCGACCCCGCAGCUCCAAGAGAAUUAACAAUACAUCAAAUACAAGCGUCUGAUGCAGGAAACUACAGCUGCUACCCAGCAGCAAUAAGAUGGACAUUAACAAUAACAGAUAUCCAGAUCAGACCAGAAUCACUCAAACAAAUGUCGCUGAACAUCAUCAUCAUUAUCAUCUCAUGUUCUGGAGUCAUUAUGGUCUGUUUUAUCAUCACCAUCAGCAUCUGCAUUCACAGGAAACAGAAGACACAAGAUCAACUCCGGUUCAGAGGAUUUAAGUCUCUACAGCACGUCUGCAUGAUCUUGAGCAGUUUAAGCUCCUUCACAGCUCUGUUAUGGCGAAUGUUCAAACCAGGAUUCUUCAUCUGGAUCUCUCUAUCAUCAUUAUUUUCCUGAUUCAUGCAGAUUAUUCAAAAUCUAAUCAAGAGCAAAGGAUUCAGCAGCACAUCAACAAAACAGUGUUUGUGGGGGAAACAGUUACACUUCACUGCAACAAAACCCAACUUGAUGAUGAUUUCACAUGGAAAAUGAACAACUCUGUUAUUUUUAGGCAGGUCUCUUAUUUUAACAUAACUAAGACAAACUUCAGCUCAAACAGGAUUCACAUCGACCCCGCAGCUCCAAGAGAAUUAACAAUACAUCAAAUACAAGCGUCUGAUGCAGGAAACUACAGCUGUUACCCAGCAGCAAUAAGAUGGACAUUAACAAUAACAGAAAACACAACCAGACCAGAAUCACUCAAACAAAUGCCGCUGUACAUCAUCUACUCAUGUUCUGGAGUCAUUAUGAUCUGUCUGAUCAUAACCAUAUGCAUUCACAGUAAACUGAAGCAGAUGAAGACAAACUCUGAUCUCUGUGAAACAGACCAGGAGGCAGAAAGUUUAUUUACCACAGAACAGGUGAAGAUGAUCUCUGACUGUGACAAACACACAGUAACAGCCUGUGUCUACAGUCUUCAUACAGUUUCAUAAACGUCUUUUCUUCUCAAGACAGUGGUGUGUGUGUCUGACACUCAUCAGAUCAUGAACAAGAAGAUGUCUGUCAGUCUUUUUUGUGGAUAAGAGAAUGAAACUGUCCCAAGAGUAUGUCGCAGAGGAUCUUUAUAUACACAUUUUCAGAAAGAGUAAUACUUUUUACACUUUUAAAAUGUAAUAUUUAAAAAUUUAACAUGCCUAACUAGAUACUAAAUUAUUCACAACAACACCUUCAAAUACCUUCAGAGACUAUGUCCUCGAUACAUGAUAUCUGUCAUUGUGUUGGACAUCUGGAUGAAGAUCUUAUUUUUUUCCCUUUUCCUUCACCUCAUGAGUCUGACACUGAAACCUUUAAAAAAUGGUGUUUGUCACAAUAUGAAAAUAAGUAUGUACAUUCAGCAGGUCAUUAUUUCAAAAUAAACCAUAACUGUACUAAUGGACACAGACGUUAUAUGACCACUUGCCAAAUAAAUGUGGACGUGAAACAUUAAUGUGAGUUAAAAUGAUUUUAUUAUCUAAUUUGUAGAUUGGAUUAAAGUUUGAAAAGCUUUCAGGUUGUGAACUCUUUUUAUUUAUUUGCAGUGAAUGUG